RNAcentral lists this ribosomal RNA (402 nucleotides) under uncultured bacterium. RNAcentral's name for it is "bacterial SSU rRNA". It matches the Rfam family "Bacterial small subunit ribosomal RNA", at positions 362 to 758 of the family's 1533-position model. The record is from RNAcentral.
UAUUGGACAAUGGGCGCAAGCCUGAUCCAGCAAUACCGCGUGUGUGAAGAAGGCCUUAGGGUUGUAAAGCUCUUUCAAUUGGGAGGAAAACCUGCCGGUCAAUACCCGGUAGCUUGACAUUACCUUUAGAAGAAGCACCGGCUAACUCCGUGCCAGCAGCCGCGGUAAUACGGAGGGUGCGAGCGUUAAUCGGAAUUACUGGGCGUAAAGCGUGCGUAGGCGGUUCGUUAAGUCAGAUGUGAAAGCCCUGGGCUCAACCUGGGAACUGCAUUUGAAACUGGCGGACUAGAGUUUGGUAGAGGGGAGUGGAGUUUCAGGUGUAGCGGUGAAAUGCGUGGAUAUCUGAAGGAACACCAGUGGCGAAGGCGACUCCCUGGACUAGAACUGACGCUGAGUACGAAA